RNAcentral lists this ribosomal RNA (253 nucleotides) under uncultured bacterium. RNAcentral describes it as "partial 16S ribosomal RNA". It matches the Rfam family "Bacterial small subunit ribosomal RNA", at positions 524 to 776 of the family's 1533-position model. The record is from RNAcentral.
UACGUAGGGGGCAAGCGUUGUCCGGAAUUAUUGGGCGUAAAGAGCGUGUAGGCGGUCCGGUAAGUCCGCUGUGAAAGUCAAAGGCUCAACCUUUGAAAGCCGGUGGAUACUGUGAGGCUAGAGUACGGAAGAGGCGAGUGGAAUUCCUGGUGUAGCGGUGGAAUGCGCAGAUAUCAGGAGGAACACCAAUAGCGAAGGCAGCUCGCUGGGACGUUACUGACACUGAGGCGCGAAAGCGUGGGGAGCGAACAGG